GAUGAACGCUGGCGGCGUGCCUAAUACAUGCAAGUCGGGCGAACAGACGAGGAGCUUGCUCCUCUGACGUUAGCGGCGGACGGGUGAGUAACACGUGGAUAACCUACCUAUAAGACUGGGAUAACUUCGGGAAACCGGAGCUAAUACCGGAUAAUAUAUUGAACCGCAUGGUUCAAUAGUGAAAGACGGUUUUGCUGUCACUUAUAGAUGGAUCCGCGCCGCAUUCGCUAGUUGGUAAGGUAACGGCUUACCAAGGCGACGAUGCGUAGCCGCCCUGAGAGGGUGAUCGGCCACCAUGGAACUGAGACUCGGGCCAGACUCCUACGGGAGGCAGCAUUAGGGAAUCUUCCGCAAUGGGCGAAAGCCUGACGGAGCAACGCCGCGUGAGUGAUGAAGGUCUUCGGAUCGUAAAACUCUGUUAUUAGGGAAGAACAAAUGCGUAAGUAACUAUGCACGUCUUGACGGUACCUAAUCAGAAAGCCACGGCUAACUACGUG
This 497-nucleotide ribosomal RNA is filed under the name uncultured bacterium. RNAcentral's name for it is "partial 16S ribosomal RNA". It matches the Rfam family "Bacterial small subunit ribosomal RNA", at positions 28 to 507 of the family's 1533-position model. The record is from RNAcentral.